RNAcentral lists this ribosomal RNA (482 nucleotides) under uncultured bacterium. Its description in RNAcentral is "partial 16S ribosomal RNA". It matches the Rfam family "Bacterial small subunit ribosomal RNA", at positions 30 to 507 of the family's 1533-position model. The record is from RNAcentral.
AUUGAACGCUGGCGGCAUGCCUUACACAUGCAAGUCGAACGGUAACAGGUCUUCGGAUGCUGACGAGUGGCGAACGGGUGAGUAAUACAUCGGAACGUGCCCAGACGUGGGGGAUAACGAGGCGAAAGCUUUGCUAAUACCGCAUACGAUCUAAGGAUGAAAGCAGGGGACCGCAAGGCCUUGUGCGUUUGGAGCGGCCGAUGGCAGAUUAGGUAGUUGGUGGGAUAAAAGCUUACCAAGCCGACGAUCUGUAGCUGGUCUGAGAGGACGACCAGCCACACUGGGACUGGGACACGGCCCAGACUCCUACGGGAGGCAGCAGUGGGGAAUUUUGGACAAUGGGCGAAAGCCUGAUCCAGCAAUGCCGCGUGCAGGAUGAAGGCCUUCGGGUUGUAAACUGCUUUUGUACGGAACGAAAAGGCUCUGGCUAAUACCUGGGGCACAUGACGGUACCGUAAGAAUAAGCACCGGCUAACUACGUG